This 497-nucleotide ribosomal RNA is filed under the name uncultured Actinomycetes bacterium. Its description in RNAcentral is "bacterial SSU rRNA". It matches the Rfam family "Bacterial small subunit ribosomal RNA", at positions 8 to 522 of the family's 1533-position model. Lineage: Bacteria; Bacillati; Actinomycetota; Actinomycetes. The record is from RNAcentral.
AGAGUUUGAUCCUGGCUCAGGACGAACGCUGGCGGCGUGCUUAACACAUGCAAGUCGAGCGGUAAGGCCCUUUGGGGUACACGAGCGGCGAACGGGUGAGUAACACGUGGGUGACCUACCCUCUACUCUGGGAUAAGCCUGGGAAACUGGGUCUAAUACCGGAUAUGACACAGUCUCGCAUGGGGUUGUGUGGAAAGUUUUUUCGGUGGGGGAUGGGCCCGCGGCCUAUCAGCUUGUUGGUGGGGUGAUGGCCUACCAAGGCGACGACGGGUAGCCGGCCUGAGAGGGCGACCGGCCACACUGGGACUGAGACACGGCCCAGACUCCUACGGGAGGCAGCAGUGGGGAAUAUUGCGCAAUGGGCGGAAGCCUGACGCAGCGACGCCGCGUGGGGGAUGACGGCCUUCGGGUUGUAAACCUCUUUCGGCCCCGACGAAGCGUGAGUGACGGUAGGGGUAGAAGAAGCACCGGCCAACUACGUGCCAGCAGCCGCGGUA